Molecule: non-coding RNA, 1143 nt
Organism: Chrysemys picta bellii (western painted turtle)
Lineage: Eukaryota; Metazoa; Chordata; Testudines; Emydidae
Source: RefSeq, a predicted model, not a curated record
GUUGAGACAGACCCUGCUGCCAGCAAGCUCUCUCCAUCCUGAGCCCUGUCGUAUCUCCCUCCUGCUCUAUGGAGAUUGGAACUGGCAAUAGGACAAACAGCACUUGUGAAAAGAGGAAGAAAGUGCCACCCUGUGCAGAGAAGUCUCCUCUGGGCAGACAGGACCUCCCCUACUGGAUUUCAUAUACAUUAUGUUUAGCCUCUGAAGUAAGCUGGCUCUGAGUAAAGCUUUACUUGUCAAUUUCACCUAUGCACUUUCAAAUACCAGCAGUCUCUACUGGCACUACUGGCCUGGGAACGGGCCAGAUGCAGAUCUCCUACCAGAAGCUAGCAAUCCCACAGCCUGAUGUUUCACAAAUAAGAAAAGCCUGGAAACCUUUUACCUUUCCUCUUCCUCCACUUUUGAAGGCAACAAGGAGAUCAAUGCCUAUGUGGGAUGCAGAGACCCAAAGAGACAGACAAUAAGGGUAGAAAUACUGAAUUUCCCUUUCAUUGUAUUUCAAUGACUUUCUAACGAUAAUUUAAAACAUUUUUUGGCUUUCAAAAGCAUUAACAGAGGAUUGUCAUGCAAUCAGCUAAUUUCAUGCUAUUCUCCGACCCAGCAGCACUGAGAGCGAGAAGGAGACCAACCCAAAGAGUGAGGCAUAGAGCAGAUAAUUCUGAGUGCUGGCUCAUUGGUCUCUCAUGCCCAGAGCCCGAAUUCUACCAGUAUUUCAGUAUUUAUACACGUUAACUUUAAGUGCAUGAAUAGUCCUUUUGUAGUUAAUGGGACUACUCUUGUGUUUAGAGUUAAGUAUGUGCACAAGUGUUGGCAGCAGCAGGAUUUAAUUCAGUUUAAGAAAACAACAGAAAAAUUAUGGAAAUGAUAUAAAAUCCAUGAGCUUUUUUUCCCUCCCCUCCUGAAUUUUCCUGACUGCCUUGACAACUCCCAUUUCACAUACCACUCCCAGCCAUUAGCCCUUUCCAGCCCAGUAAUACUUGAAAUAACGAGAAACAGUAGUCAGGAAGGGAGGCAGGCCCCCAACCUGAAGCAAAUACUCACCAGCAACUACACACCACACCACCCCAGGAACCAAUCCCUGUAGCAAACCUCGUUGCCUACUCUGUCCCCGUAUCUACUUUAAUGAUACCAUCCGAGGACCCA